CGCGUAGGCGGUUUUCCAAGUCAGGCGUGAAAGCCCCGGGCUCAACCCGGGAACUGCGCUUGAUACUGUGAGACUUGAGACCGGGAGAGGAUAGUGGAAUUCCCAGUGUAGAGGUGAAAUUCGUAGAUAUUGGGAAGAACACCAGUGGCGAAGGCGGCUAUCUGGACCGGUACUGACGCUGAGGCGCGAAAGCGUGGGGAGCAAACAGGAUUAGAUACCCUGGUAGUCCACGCCGUAAACGAUGAGUGCUAGACGUUGGAGGGCUUGCUCUUCAGUGUCGAAGCUAACGCGAUAAGCACUCCGCCUGGGGAGUACGGCCGCAAGGUUAAA
This 330-nucleotide ribosomal RNA is filed under the name uncultured Rhodospirillales bacterium. RNAcentral describes it as "bacterial SSU rRNA". It matches the Rfam family "Bacterial small subunit ribosomal RNA", at positions 568 to 898 of the family's 1533-position model. Lineage: Bacteria; Pseudomonadati; Pseudomonadota; Alphaproteobacteria; Rhodospirillales. The record is from RNAcentral.